Carassius gibelio (silver crucian carp) is the source of this 879-nucleotide long non-coding RNA. RefSeq lists it as uncharacterized. The record is from RefSeq and is a predicted model, not a curated record. NCBI's taxonomy places the organism in Eukaryota, Metazoa, Chordata, Actinopteri, Cypriniformes, Cyprinidae. The transcript is spliced from 3 exons.
UAUAUUUUGAAACGCGAGAGGGCGCAAGGUUACAGCUUUUCGUUUAAAUACUUCACUAAUUGAUUCAAUAUAUUUCAUAAAUAAUUUUGUUUUAAGAUAGUUUUAGGAUUUAAAAAAGCCCACCCACAAAGUAUAUAUUAAAGUCACUGGACAACAUUAUUGAUGUGCAUAUUCCUGUAAUAAUGGUAAACAUUUAGAAAAGUUUUUUUUUCGUGUGUAGGCCUACUAUGUAGGCUAUCACUUUUUUCAUAUUUGCAAUAUAACGUAAUGGAAUUCAUAAUGACAUCGCAAAAUCAUCGUUUAAGAAGUGACGUCAACAUUUUGCAGGGAAGCAACAUUGAAAACAACAACACAGGAUGUUGACGGAUCACCGUAAACUGUUAGUGCAUGCAGAAAAAUUCUUCGGCCACAGAAAAUAUAACAGCAUACGGGUUGGGAAAGACACGUGGUCGGUCCAUCAGUCACAUGUCUGACGUGAACUCCCAUCCCAAUCUCCCCUCAUCCUUCAACCUGACAGCCAUGACAGCCAAUCCCAUUCUUGAUUGGGCUGAGACUCGAAAGGAAACAGACGAAUGGAGACCAUCACCCUUUCUGGCGCUGAGACACGCUAUCUGUAAAUCAAUGAUACCCAUUCCACAUUCAAAACCUGCUGGACAGACAGAGAGACACACACCCGCAACAAAAAGUCAAAGCAACAUCAACCAGAAGAUUUACAGUCUUGCACAACUGCUUUCCCCAUCCCGGUGAAGACUAUGUGCACUUAAACCUUCAAGCGUUUGGUGAUUUAUUCAGGAUGCUCACAAGAACAAUCCAUAGAUGUUAUGGGAAAAGAAACAUAGUUACUUAUGAGACAUUAGUAGUCUAGAAACUAAACUAUAC